This 505-nucleotide ribosomal RNA is filed under the name Rhodosorus marinus. Its description in RNAcentral is "partial Bacterial small subunit ribosomal RNA". It matches the Rfam family "Bacterial small subunit ribosomal RNA", at positions 311 to 808 of the family's 1533-position model. Lineage: Eukaryota; Rhodophyta; Stylonematophyceae; Stylonematales; Stylonemataceae. The record is from RNAcentral.
CACUGGGACUGAGACACGGCCCAGACUCCUACGGGAGGCAGCAGUGGGGAAUAUUGGACAAUGGGGGCAACCCUGAUCCAGCCAUGCCGCGUGUGUGAAGAAGGCCUUUUGGUUGUAAAGCACUUUAAGCAGUGAAGAAGACUCCAUGGUUAAUACCCAUGGACGAUGACAUUAGCUGCAGAAUAAGCACCGGCUAACUCUGUGCCAGCAGCCGCGGUAAUACAGAGGGUGCAAGCGUUAAUCGGAAUUACUGGGCGUAAAGCGAGCGUAGGUGGCUUGAUAAGUCAGAUGUGAAAGCCCCGGGCUUAACCUGGGAACGGCAUCUGAUACUGUUAGGCUAGAGUAGGUGAGAGGAAGGUAGAAUUCCAGGUGUAGCGGUGAAAUGCGUAGAGAUCUGGAGGAAUACCGAUGGCGAAGGCAGCCUUCUGGCAUCAUACUGACACUGAGGUUCGAAAGCGUGGGUAGCAAACAGGAUUAGAUACCCUGGUAGUCCACGCCGUAAACG